Molecule: ribosomal RNA, 274 nt
Filed under: uncultured bacterium
Lineage: Bacteria
Description: partial 16S ribosomal RNA
Rfam family: Bacterial small subunit ribosomal RNA
Source: RNAcentral
AUACGGAGGGUGCAAGCGUUAUCGGGAUUCAUUGGGUUUAAAGGGUACGUAGGCGGAUAGAUAAGUUAGUGGUGAAAUCCCGAAGCUCAACUUCGGAACUGCCAUUAAAACUGUCUAUCUUGAAUUUGGUUGAAGUGGGCGGAAUAUGACAUGUAGCGGUGAAAUGCAUAGAUAUGUCAUGGAACACCAAUAGUGAAGACAGCUCACUAAGCCAAUAUUGACGCUGAGGUACGAAAGCAUGGGUAGCGAACAGGAUUAGAAACCCGAGUAGUCC